RNAcentral lists this long non-coding RNA (6351 nucleotides) under Nicotiana tabacum (common tobacco). RNAcentral describes it as "long non-coding RNA (NTAB_LNC017843)". Lineage: Eukaryota; Viridiplantae; Streptophyta; Magnoliopsida; Solanales; Solanaceae. The record is from RNAcentral.
UUUUUUUCCACUGCGACGGUGCUAGUAGACAUGGUGCAACGUAUCGGAACCUAAACAGAGAAAAUUAGAAGAUUUCCUAUACAAUACAUGUAUAAUAUACUAUUAUUUAUGAUAUUCCACAAAAAAUAAAAAGAUGAAAUAAUAUUUUUCCACAACCUAUCUAAGAGAAUGAGUAACUGCAUCUUUUUCAGCUCGUCAAAUUUUAUUGCAGAACUCUAUAGUUGCUCAAAACUGAUUGCUAUUAAGUUGUCCAGUCUUGUAAAUUUCAUUGCAAACCCUAUUAUCUGGACUACUUCAUUUUCCUUCCUUGACAGAAUGUUUGAGUGUGCUGCUGCAACUUGUUUAAAUAGGAUUAGAGCCUGACAACUAACAUUUUCAAGUGACUUUCCUGUAAAAAAAGAAAAAAAAUAGUGAAUGCUUCAAUACCAACGUCAAUAAUAUGUAAACAGUUGGAUAACCUUAAAGACCAGUACAAUUGUGUGCAAGUUUCACUAUGCAAUCCAAGCAGAGAUCAACGAUCUCAUUCCCAAUUUUACAGUAUCUAUAGCUUCAAUUAUUUCUUAUCUCAUCUGUUGAAGGAUCCUAAAGAAGGAAAGCAACCAUUUCAUAUCAUGCUUCUUCAAGAUUACAAAAAAGAGUACUCAAAGAAAGCAACAACGAUGUGGAUGUAUCUUCCUAAUUUUAGGCACGGUAGAGUAGAGGCUGGCUUUAUCAUUGGAUCAUGAAUAAAGUUAAGCUCAAACCAUUAUAUAGAAAGGAAAAUGGAUUCUAUCCUCAAUUACUUGUAUCAAAACAUAUUAUUGUGCAUAGACAUAAGAGAAGGGAAGAGACGAAACACUCUUGACCUCGUAAACUUACCACUCACUUUUGCCUGCCACAAUGCUCCUAAAACCCAAAUAUGGACUGUUCAUAGUUGUAAAAUACUCCACAAAAACAUGAAACGGUACCAAAAUAAAAUGAAAAGAAGAUAUAAAGACCAGAUUAAAAGAAAAAAAAGAAAAGAAAAGAACAAUAUCGACUUACAUUCUUAACUUGGUAUGAGCGAGCUUUUCCUAAAGAAUGAUCAGGAUAUGUAAAGUCUUCUCUCCGUUGUUAUUUUUUCAAGAGCUUAGCUUAUCCUUUAUUCCUCAUUGACACACUAUGGCUCCUGUCAUUAAUUGUACAAGUUAAACAAAUCUUACCAGUCAUAGAAAACAUUUCCUUAAUUCUGUUCUGCUAUUGUGCAGUUAAAUGAUCAGUUAUCCAUAUUACUUCAUGCCUGGUAAUGUUUACUCUUUCUUCUAUAUAGAUUCUAACCAUGCAUCUUCUAUGAAAUUUCAAAUGUUCCAAAUGAUACAAAAUUCUAGAGCUGAUUCUUUUGAAUCCCCUUGUUUUUGGUCUGCUGGUUCAACUAUUCUGCUAUUAAAAGCCUACAACUUUGUUCUUAGUUCUCUAGUAAUUAUAUUCUAAGCAGUCUCAAUCUAUGUAAUUAGCUUAUCAUCUAUCUGUUCAUUAUCUAUGACAUUAGAAAUUAUAAAUCAGUUCACAAAUACAAAGCAAAUUCUAUCAGAUUAAAAAACAACCUCCCAUUCAGAUAGAAAUUAACUGAAGAAACUCUGAAGUGCAAAUCUAGUUCUAUCCCAAUUCUAUCAUUCUACUAUUAGAGCCUUACCUUCAAUUACAACAUAGUAGCAUAAUUUUUGACCAUUUCAGAAUACCAUUUAAUGUUCUAGUAUUUACAUCCAGCUAGCCUCUCCAUUUUACAAUGAUAAAAUAUGAGAAAUAAAUUUGACGCUCAAAGACACAAUCCACUACUAAGAGCUUCUAAAACUAUGUGCAAAUAUUGAUUAUCUUAGAAAAGAAAACUAUCACUGAGGCAAGUAAAAUUUACUGCAUUUGAAAAAGUAGACAUUAACAAAAUACAGCCAAGCCUGAUAAGGUAAAAUUUUAUUAAAUAAAAAAAAGGUACCCAAGAUGGUACAAAUAGAAUAGACCAGCACUAACACAAAACAAAUGGGCCAAGUCUUGGAAUGACUAAUAUUUAUUCAAAGAUCAUCAACGUAUCUAGUGGAAUUUCUGCACUAGCCAAUAAGUUCAACAGUAAGCCUAUUACUUUGUAAAACUACUUUCGUUUCUCAUAAAUUGCAAAAUAACUCUUCUCAACAUAAACUUGUUUCACUUUCAUUCUCCCAACUAACAAAGAACUUAAGUAAUAACCAAUGGCAUCCAAUGUCAACUCAACCAUUAGCUCUAGAAAAAUCAAGCAGAAGGGACAUGCAUACCAAGUUGGAAGGAAUGGAUCAAUGGUCUAACUAACUAAAAAUUCAUACCACAGCUAGAUCAUUAUAAUUACAAACUGAACAAAAAAUUAAAAUCAUGAGUGCAAUUGUUUUGAGAAAAAGAAUAGAACCAACAUGCACCCAAAAAUAGAAGCACAUAGAAGAACUAAAACCAUAGAGAACGAAGCUCGACGUCGCAGUUGUGUUAUACUAAGAAUGUAGGAAAAAGAUUCUACAAAUAAUUGAAUAAAGAAGAAGUGAAGAUUUGAUCACUGCUUACCGCUCACACAAACUGUAAUUAACACAGUCAACAGAGAGAAAAAGAGGAGAAUUAGAAACAACAAAAAUUGAAAUCUCAAUAAAUGAAAUAUCAUGACCAUCGAUACGAAAGAUAAAAGCUGGCACAGAAAUUGUAAUUAACACUGUAAACAUAGAGAAAAGAGGAGAAUUAAAAAUAACAAAAAUUAAAAUCUCAAUAAAUGAAAUGUCAUGGCCAUUGAAACGAACAAAAGCUGCCACAUAAAUUCUUAUAGCUUUCUUAGGAAGUGCAAAUUCAAUUCCUUACCUCUCUAUAUGAGCCACUGAAAGCACUAUGAAGCAGCUUUAUUGUAGUCGUCCCCCAUUCGUUCCCCUUUAACUCCAAAUCACACUAUGUGCAUUUGGAGAUUGAUUGAAUUCUAAAAAACCCCAAUUUCAAAACUUAGGUUAAAAUCUCAAAAUUGCUAAUUAAAAUUAAAAUAAAUAUAAAGUAAAAGAAUUUAACUAAUGCAAACUUGAGGAAUGCAAAGAAGUAAAAUAAACGAACUAAGAAGAGAGAAAAGAAGGAAAUGGAAAACAAAGAAGGAAGAAGAAGGUGAAAAACCAUCAUAGAGCAGGAUAAUCCAAACAUGAACAGUUCCGCUAACUGAAAUGCAAGUAGAAUAUGAAUGGGAGAUUCUGGAUUGUACUAAAGUAGAAGUGAAAUUACACCUGUUGAGAGAAGAAUAGGAGUCAAACCACACGUGUUUAGAGAAGAAUAUAACACUUACACGGGUAUACUUGCAAUUACCAAGUAGUACUUGUAUAAUUAAGUGGGCCCAAUGCAUAGUACAACUUACGCUAAAUCCAGUACAAUUAGCUAUUGCUAUGUUCGUACACCCCUUAGCCAUUUAUAAAAGAGUAACAUUUUUUGUCAAGAUACAUUCAUCAAGGCUAUGAUACCUUAUCAGUUUCAGGAAGACUAUCAGCCUUUCUAAGUAAUCUGAAUAUUUGUAGGCCUCCUUCGAUGCUCUUUAAAUACAAUGGAUUCAACCUGCAAGUUAUAGCAUACAAUCAUCUCGGGCAUACAAUCAAAUCUUGAAACUAACAUUUAUAGAUUUAUAUUUCAUAUUUUUUUUCAAGAUACAUUCACCAAAGCUUUGAUACCUUAUCAGUUUCAGGAAGCUAUCAGCCUUUCAAAGCCAUCUGAAUAUUUUGUAUACCUCCUUCGAUGCUCUUUAAAUACAAUGGAUUCAACCUUCAAGUUAUAGCAUAUUGAGAUGAAUUAAUCCAGAAUUUAGUACAUUGAAUAGUAUAUCUAAUUGGGUACAUCCCCUGUAGUCGUCGAAUAAAUUGCAAGACAAACAAAUGUCAAGCAUAAAUUAUAAAGAAUUAUCUUUUAUCCAUUCACGUUUGCAGUUAUUUCAUCAUUUCUUCCGUGAUAAACACCAUUCCUUGUAUCACUCUGGUCGAUAAGAGCUUACUUCUCUGCAAUUCAAUAAUUUUGUCCAACAAAAGCUAUUCUAUCCCCUUUUAGAAUACUAACAAAAUACAUACGAAUAUAAACAAUACAAUAACAGUAACAAUGUGACUCCGGUUUAUCUCUAUUUACAACAAAGUUCAUGACAUGGGAAACAUUUUGUGUUGUCCAACUGUAUGUGAGGACUCUCAAGUCGGUUAUGACAGCUGAAUCUACCCAAUAGCAACUAUUUGGAAACUAUAUGCUAAGAACUUUCAUCCAAUGCAAAGGUGAAGUUCCAGAAAGAGACAAAUGACAGAGAUUAGCACUUAACAGUAGCUGAAUGGUUAAAAUGCAUAUGCAUUUAUAAAAAUAUUCCAAAUACCAACACACAAAAUGUCACAACCUUUUCUAAAUACAUCCACUGAACUAUUAUGAUUUUUAGAACAGAUGAUCAUCACUAAUGUAGAACAGAUACUAUAAUCUGCCUUUCACCAUCACCCAUGAAAACACACGUAUAAUAAGAAAGGAUUGGUGAGACCUUAACUUUUGCCAAUACAAUUAUAACAUCUACUCCUAUGAUAUCUCCUAAGAGGACUAAAGAACAUUAAAAAAGAAAGCUCACCGCACCGACGGAGAUAGAUCAUACAAUCUCCUUUGAGAAAGGUUUACAUCUGUAUACCAGCAAAAGAAUUACUCCUAGAUGGGCCAUCGUUUGCAUCUGUAUACCAGCAAAAGAAUUACUCCUGAAUAUACAAAAUCAAUGCAAAAGAAAUGUGAAUAUAUAUACAUGGCCUACAAACAAUUAGGAAUUUCAGCGACAUCCACAUAACCUCAUAAAUAGCACUUAAAUGUAAUAAAUCCUUUUAUAUAUUAGCAAAGUUCACAAACUGCUGGUGCAUCAUUGAUUAUUUCACAAAGAAAAAUGUCUUUUUUCCUACUAAUAUGGAUGCAUUCCAACAGCUGAUACUUAUGGAAUUUUAUUGUUCAGUCAGGUGAGUGUAAUAGAAUAGUGGAAAUAUCCAUAACUUCGCAUAUACAUUUCGAAAAUGCAGUGACAUCUAAAAGAAAACCACUUGCAGAAAUCGACCCAGCGCUUUUAAGACAUGAAAAGGAAAGACGGAGAAUUCAGUCAACCUAAAAGGAAAUUGAAGUUAGAUCUCAUUGCCAAUAAAGUAUAAGUUAAACAGCAAAUUGGAGAUUUCAUGCUGAUAUAUGAGAAUGAUGCCUAAACAUUAUGCUUUAUUUUAUUAAUAAAGAGAAGUAAUUUUCUUUGUAAAAGGUGAAUAGUUUGUCAAUAACUUAGUGGCUUGUUUCCGUCCCCUAAGAUUAGGGGAACUGGUUGCUGAUAAUAGAGUAUACAUAUUUGUUUAACAACUGAACUUAUUCCUUCUAACCCCUUAACAUUAACGACCUAAUCAAUUUUCGAAAAUAUAUCCCUCUUUUGAAUUAUAAAUUUUAGUCACCUACCAUAGAUUGUCUUCUAUAUCUCUAACAAAUUAGACAAAGAAAUGUGGGCACUUAAAAGAAAAAAUACCAAAAUUGCAGCCUUUCCCUGCUCCCAAAUGAAGAAGACCUUAUCGUUUGAUUAUCUCUGUUUGUCGGAAAAGUGAACGCAGGAAAUUAUGUACUUUGAACUCACUAUAAUAAGCCCUCCAAAAUGAAAUUCGAGUUAGAAAGAAUUACACAAAUUAAAAUAAAUUCAGUAAUAUACAUUAGGAAAAAAUGGUAUAGCGGAUUCGGACUUCCCAUAUGUCACAAAGGCUAAGCCAAUAACUCAAUUUCUUUAGCCAAGCAGCGAUAGAAUGCUUGUUGUCUCUUCAAGCCCAUCUCUAUUCAUGACAAACAUAUCAUCCUUUACAUGAGAAUUCCGACCACACUAUUUUUAAUCCACAUAUGACAUAUCUCAGUAAUCUCAAGAUCCGUUACUUAACCAAACGGGGAAAAAUAUAUCAAUACACCCCCAAGACGAAGAGACAACUAAAAUAGGAGAAAAUAAUAACAAUAUUUUGCCAGAAAAAAAAAAACGUGCUUCACAUCACUUGGCUAAAAACUCGCAUAUAUGCAUGCUGAAGGAUGAAGAGCAAUAAGCUUUAAAAUGGUAAUAAAAACAAAAGAAAAAUUAUCCAAACCCACUGUAAUAUCAAUGGUAUCAACCAACUCGUAACAAAGAGUAUAAAUCAUUUUUUUAGAACUUGAGUUCGAUAAAUCCAGCUUGAGGGUGGGGGUUCAGAGCAUGAGUGUAGGAUUUAAAAAUACAAUUGGGGGUUAUUUGAUAUGGAGUUCUUGGGGUGAAAUUUGGGGUUUGCUUUGGGGAGGAAUGGCAGAAUAGGGAGCGUUGGAGGGAAAGAGAAAGAUGAUAAUAGAGAGAGAGAGAGAAAGGGGGUGGGGGGCUCU